This 1879-nucleotide long non-coding RNA is filed under the name Bemisia tabaci. RNAcentral describes it as "lncRNA ENSSWEETPG008658". The record is from RNAcentral. Lineage: Eukaryota; Metazoa; Arthropoda; Insecta; Hemiptera; Aleyrodidae.
ACCUCCCGGGGUUGGCCGGCCCCUUCUGCCGCGGAUAACGCCGGGGUCUCCGGGACCCGAGAGCCCCGGCGAUUGCCCGCCUGACGGCGCGUCCGGCCGGCGUCAGGAGUGACGCGGCCGCGGCCCCGGCGGACGGUCCCCGCGAACGGUUGCCCGCCCGCACGGAGGGCGCUGCGGCCCGCCCGGCCAGACCGGCCUCGAUCCUCAGAGCCAAUCCUUGUCCCGAAGUUACGGAUCGAGUUUGCCGAGUUCCCUUACCUACAUUGUUCCACGUGACCAGAGGCUGUUCACCUAGGAGACCUGCUGCGGAUACUCGGUACGAACCGGCUUCGGAAACCACCGAACCAGGAGCCUCAGCCGGGAUUUUCACGGUCCGAGGGAGGAGACCCGUACACCGCCGACGACCGCGUGCUCCUCGCGACCCACCGCCCCUAUCUCCGCGCCAUACGCGUUCCAGGGAUGCUCGGUCGCUUCAACAGAAAAGACAACUCUCCACGGGUCCUCCGCCGGCUUCUCCGGCUGGUUGUCGAAUCGCUCCGACGAGUCGUACGGACCUGGCAGGUGAACGUUUCCUACUCGCGGGUCCGGGAAUCUUGACCGGGUUCCCUUUCGCCGUGCCGGACCGUGUACGAUCUUUACGAUCCCCUGGCGAUGGAGGGCGGGCGCGUCCACGGCGACCCACUCGGCCGAGUCGCGCGAAACGGCGAACCGCUCGGUGCGCGCGCUGCGGGGCUCUGGUCUGAGCGCCGAGGAGCGCGAGGCGAGCGAGGCUAAACCGCGUUUGGCAAGUACGGAGCCCCGAUCCGACACCGGUGGCCGCCUCCACGCUCUCCCGUUGAGUCCCCGCGCCCAGCGCGGUCCGGGGUCCCGGUCGGCGGAGUCCGCCCCGGCUAAGUGCUUCGCUCGAGAGCUAGCGCGUCGCUCCGGGGCCGCCCCGUGCGAGCUCCGAGGGAGCCGCACAUGUUACGGGUGAAAACGCCGCUCGGGAGUUGCGGCGCCGGGUUUGGGGUACGGACUCCGCGCGAGGCGGGUCGGAGCCGCGCCGAAGGGGCGCGGGCGGGGAGCGUCUGAGUCGGAAGCGACCUCGGCGAAGGGCGGGGGAACCGCCGACGGGCCUCGCCCGAUGCUUGCCCCCGCGCCUCGGGAACCCCGGAGGGGCUCCCGAGCGGCGCAGAGGGGCCGAGCCCCGGGUCGCGAACCGCCUCUCCUCCGCGAAAGCGGGGGGGAUCAUCGUGGGGUCCGCGUUGUAGGGCCUUCGCCCGUGGCUUAGGAUCGACUAACACUUGUGCAACGGCUUUGUUGACAAGAAAACCCUUCUCCGCGUCAGUCCUCCAGGACCUCUCCAGAGUAUUUGCUACUACCACCAAGAUCUGCGCCGGACGGCGCCUGGGAUCCGGGCGGGCUCGCGCCCUGAACCCUUCUGCGCUCACCGCCGCGCCCUCCUACUCGUCAGGGUCUACCCGAGGCGCUUCCCGCCGCGGGGCCGCUCCUUCGGCCGUUUGACCGGGCGCGGGGGAGCGGCUCGAGCGGCGGGCGACCCCGUUGCCCGUGCUCCACGCUGACGGCCGGGUAUCGGCACGCUAAUCAUAGCGCCACAGAAAUUUUCGGAACACCACCGGCAUCGGCAGGUGAGUCGUUACACACUCAUUAGCGGAUGCCAACUUCCAUGGCCACAGUCCUGCUGUCGCACGUCGGGUCCGACCAUUUGAACGGGUGUCUGUCAUCUUCGGUCGUAGCGAUUUAGGCGCCUUAACCCGGCGUUCGGUUCACCCGCAUCGUCAGUCUGCUUACCNGGUCCUCAAUGUCCUCGUCACCUUUCCAGUACAUUGAGGAAACCACUAAUUCGUAGCGUCAGGGCAGGUAACCACCGCGGUUUGUU